RNAcentral lists this ribosomal RNA (478 nucleotides) under uncultured bacterium. Its description in RNAcentral is "partial 16S ribosomal RNA". It matches the Rfam family "Bacterial small subunit ribosomal RNA", at positions 28 to 523 of the family's 1533-position model. The record is from RNAcentral.
GACGAACGCUGGCGGCGUGCUUAACACAUGCAAGUCGAACGGUAAGGCCCUUCGGGGUACACGAGUGGCGAACGGGUGAGUAACACGUGGGUGAUCUGCCCUGCACUUCGGGAUAAGCCUGGGAAACUGGGUCUAAUACCGGAUAGGACCACUGCCUGCAUGGGUGGUGGUGGAAAGCUUUUGCGGUGUGGGAUGGGCCCGCGGCCUAUCAGCUUGUUGGUGGGGUGAUGGCCUACCAAGGAGACGACGGGUAGCCGGCCUGAGAGGGUGGCCGGCCACACUGGGACUGAGAUACGGCCCAGACUCCUACGGGAGGCAGCAGUGGGGAAUAUUGCACAAUGGGCGCAAGCCUGAUGCAGCGACGCCGCGUGAGGGAUGACGGCCUUCGGGUUGUAAACCUCUUUCAGCACCGACGAAGCGCAAGUGACGGUAGGUGCAGAAGAAGGACCGGCCAACUACGUGCCAGCCGCCGCAGUAA